UUCGCAAUGCCCGAAAGGGUGACGAAGCGACGCCGCGUGCGGGAAGAAGGCCUUCGGGUUGUAAACCGCUGUCGGGAGUUAAGAAAUGCAAGGAUAUUAAUAGUGUCUUUGCUUGACUAAGGCUCCGGAGGAAGCCACGGCUAACUCUGUGCCAGCAGCCGCGGUAAUACAGAGGCGGCAAGCGUUGUUCGGAAUUAUUGGGCGUAAAGAGCACGUAGGCGGCUAUGUAAGUCGGUUGUGAAAGCCUUCCGCUCAACGGGAGAACAGCAUCCGAUACUGCAUGGCUUGAGUGCGGGAGGGGAGAGUGGAACUUCUGGUGGAGCGGUGAAAUGCGUAGAUAUCAGAAGGAACGCCGGCGGCGAAAGCGACUCUCUGGCCCGAAACUGACGCUGAGUGUGCGAAAGCUAGGGGAGCAAACGGGAUUAGAUACCCCGGUAGUCCUAGCCGUAAACGAUGGGCACUAAGUAGAGGGGUUUU
Molecule: ribosomal RNA, 477 nt
Filed under: uncultured bacterium
Lineage: Bacteria
Description: bacterial SSU rRNA
Rfam family: Bacterial small subunit ribosomal RNA
Source: RNAcentral